This 508-nucleotide ribosomal RNA is filed under the name uncultured bacterium. RNAcentral describes it as "bacterial SSU rRNA". It matches the Rfam family "Bacterial small subunit ribosomal RNA", at positions 17 to 518 of the family's 1533-position model. The record is from RNAcentral.
UUCUGGCUCAGGAUGAACGCUAGCGGCAGGCUUAACACAUGCAAGUCGAGGGGCAGCGGGAUGUAGCAAUACAUUGCCGGCGACCGGCGGAUGGGUGCGUAACGCGUAUGCAACCUACCUUAUACAGGGGAAUAACCUUUCGAAAGGGAGACUAACACCCCAUAGUAUUGAUUUAAGGCAUCUUAGAUUAAUUAAAUAUUUAUAGGUAUAAGAUGGGCAUGCGUAUGAUUAGCUAGUUGGUAAGGUAACGGCUUACCAAGGCGACGAUCAUUAGGGGUUCUGAGAGGAAGGUCCCCACACUGGUACUGAGACACGGACCAGACUCCUACGGGAGGCAGCAGUGAGGAAUAUUGGUCAAUGGGCGCAAGCCUGAACCAGCCAUGCCGCGUGCCAGGAAGACGGCCUUAUGGGUUGUAAACUGCUUUUACAUAAGACUAACCGUAUAUUUGCGAAUAUACCUGAAUGUAUUAUGAGAAUAAGGAUCGGCUAACUCCGUGCCAGCCGCCGC